CUCAGCUGACUGUCACUGUAUCAGAUAUUUCCUUCAACGAAACAUCAGACUACUAUUAUCAUGGGCAAGGAGAGGACCAACGUCAACAUGACCGUCGUCGGCUUCUAUUAGACUCUCUCAUCAGGUGAUGGAGGGCUAGUACAACACGGACACGGCUCGGCUUCUGUACACGGACAACAUGCUACGAGAAUAUCCCCCGGACUACCCUACAAAUGAUUGGCGUUUUUAUUCAUCAAACUUAGUCUUUGUGGACUAACUUACUCAUUAUUUAACUUGACAGUAAUAAACUUAAUUUUACAGUA
This is a long non-coding RNA of Macrosteles quadrilineatus (aster leafhopper), 302 nucleotides long. RefSeq lists it as uncharacterized. The transcript is spliced from 2 exons. The record is from RefSeq and is a predicted model, not a curated record. NCBI's taxonomy places the organism in Eukaryota, Metazoa, Arthropoda, Insecta, Hemiptera, Cicadellidae.